RNAcentral lists this ribosomal RNA (499 nucleotides) under uncultured bacterium. RNAcentral describes it as "partial 16S ribosomal RNA". It matches the Rfam family "Bacterial small subunit ribosomal RNA", at positions 28 to 507 of the family's 1533-position model. The record is from RNAcentral.
GAUGAACGCUGGCGGCGUGCCUAAUACAUGCAAGUCGAGCGAACAGACGAGAGUGCUUGCACUCUCUGACGUUAGCGGCGGACGGGUGAGUAACACGUGGGUAACCUACCUAUAAGACUGGGAUAACUUCGGGAAACCGGAGCUAAUACAGGAUAAUAUUUAGCUUUGCAUGAAGCAAUAGUGAAAGACGGUUCUGCUGUCACUUAUAGAUGGACCAGCGGUGUAUUAGCUUGUUGGUGAGGUAAUGGCUCACCAAGGCAAUGUUACAUAGCCGACCUGAGAGGGUGAGCGACCACGCUGGGACUGAGGCACGGCCCAGACUCCUACGGGAGGCAGCAGUAGGGAAUUUUCCGCAAUGGACGAAAGUCUGACGGAGCAAUGCCGCGUGAGUGAAGAAGGUUUUCGGAUCGUAAAACUCUGUUGUAAGGGAAGAACAAGUACGUUAGUAACUGAACGUACCUUGACGGUACCUUACCAGAAAGCCACGGCUAACUACGUG